Molecule: non-coding RNA, 671 nt
Organism: Thamnophis sirtalis
Lineage: Eukaryota; Metazoa; Chordata; Lepidosauria; Squamata; Natricidae
Source: RefSeq, a predicted model, not a curated record
CGACCGUAGCAAGAAAUUUGUCCCUCAGUGACAUCCGUAGGGAGGGCGGGGUUAUUCCGAGAGAGCCCCUGGGUAGUUUUUCGGAGGCUUCUUUGGCUCAGUAGAGGAACGGCAGUCGAGACCAUGUUCCGCCUUGAGGGUCUGGGGCCCAAGCUGGACCCGGAGGAGCUGAAGCGCAAAAUGCGCGAGGACGUUCUCUCUUCCAUCCGCAACUUCCUCAUCUACGUAGCCGUGCUGCGCAUCACUCCAUUUGUUUUAAAGAAGCUGGACAGCAUAUGAUAGUAAGAGCUUCGAGGAUUGCCUACAUGAAAGACCAUGGAAUGCUUUUCUAAGAAUGGACUAUAGACAUUACCUUAACAGAUGGAUCCUGAACAUUUCCAUAUGAAGAUUGUAGAGCUAAAAAAGUAUUUCUCCAUUGAAAUCCAUCCUGCAUAUUAUGAAGUUGAGGAUAACAACCCCUAAUUACCACAAGAUAAAUCACUGCUGCAAAAGAUGUCAUUUCUGGGAUGGUUCCAUACUUUCAGAGAUUCAGAUUGAAGGGAUGGCCAUAUAGUGGCAAUUUCCAGCAACAUUUUCAUAGUUCUUACAAUGUCUUAACUUUACCUAUAGUGAAAUGUACAUUGAUUCUGCUUGACAGCACUAGGCUAUGAUACCAACUUGCCAUAACUUAC